Molecule: ribosomal RNA, 429 nt
Filed under: bacterium
Lineage: Bacteria
Description: partial 16S ribosomal RNA
Rfam family: Bacterial small subunit ribosomal RNA
Source: RNAcentral
UAGGGAAUCUUCGGCAAUGGGGGCAACCCUGACCGAGCAACGCCGCGUGAGUGAAGAAGGUUUUCGGAUCGUAAAGCUCUGUUGUAAGAGAAGAACGUGUGUGAGAGUGGAAAGUUCACACAGUGACGGUAACUUACCAGAAAGGGACGGCUAACUACGUGCCAGCAGCCGCGGUAAUACGUAGGUCCCGAGCGUUGUCCGGAUUUAUUGGGCGUAAAGCGAGCGCAGGCGGUUUAAUAAGUCUGAAGUUAAAGGCAGUGGCUUAACCAUUGUUCGCUUUGGAAACUGUUAAACUUGAGUGCAGAAGGGGAGAGUGGAAUUCCGUGUGUAGCGGUGAAAUGCGUAGAUAUAUGGAGGAACACCGGUGGCGAAAGCGGCUCUCUGGUCUGUAACUGACGCUGAGGCUCGAAAGCGUGGGGAGCAAACAGG